UACGGAGGGCGCAAGCGUUGUUCGGAAUCACUGGGCGUAAAGCGCGUGUAGGCGGCUCUGCAAGUCGGGUGUGAAAUCCCGAGGCUCAACCUCGGAACUGCACUCGAUACUGCUUGGCUCGAGUCCCGGAGAGGGUGGCGGAAUUCCCGGUGUAGGGGUGAAAUCCGUAGAUAUUGGGAAGAACACCGGUGGCGAAGGCGGCUCACUGGCCCGUUUCUGACGCUGCAGCGCGAAAGCGUGGGGAUCAAACAGG
RNAcentral lists this ribosomal RNA (253 nucleotides) under uncultured bacterium. Its description in RNAcentral is "partial 16S ribosomal RNA". It matches the Rfam family "Bacterial small subunit ribosomal RNA", at positions 524 to 776 of the family's 1533-position model. The record is from RNAcentral.